CGUGUAGGCGGCUCAUCAAGUCCGGUGUGAAAACGCAGGGCUUAACCCUGCUCAUGCGCUGGAAACUGGUGGGCUGGAGUUCUUGAGGGGAAGCUGGAAUUCCAGGUGUAGGGGUGAAAUCUGUAGAUAUCUGGAAGAACACCGGUGGCGAAGGCGAGCUUCUAUCAGAGGACUGACGCUGAGGCGCGAAAGCGUGGGGAGCAAACAGGAUUAGAUACCCUGGUAGUCCACGCUGUAAACGAUGUGCACUAGGCGUGGGGCCCGUACGGGUUCCGUGCCGUAGUUAACGUGAUAAGUGCACCGCCUGGGGAGUAUGCUCGCAAGGGUGAA
RNAcentral lists this ribosomal RNA (330 nucleotides) under uncultured bacterium. RNAcentral's name for it is "bacterial SSU rRNA". It matches the Rfam family "Bacterial small subunit ribosomal RNA", at positions 568 to 898 of the family's 1533-position model. The record is from RNAcentral.